AUUAGUGUUAUUUGAUCUGGUUAAUAUAACUUAAGAACCAACCCAUUGAGUCAUUGACAAAGUAAUACUGAGAUUUAAAAUUUACAGAAAUCGCGAUAAUCACCAAUGAAUAGGAGUAUUUUUAUGAAAAAAGUAAAAGCAAAGUAUCUAAAAAAAAAUAUGUGAGACUACUAUUGUUUUGUCUAUUUAAAAUUCGCUAGAGAAGAAAAAGAAGUAUACUGAAAACUCCAUCAAUUCAUGCAAAACUUGGCCGAGCAAUGGGGAAUCGGCGAACCGUCUACAUGAGUUUACAAUAUUUUGAGCAAGAUUCGUUCACCAUGAAGGCGGGAAUUUGAAUAGUUAUACUGCACAUCAAGGUUCAACACCUGAAAAGUUAUUCCUUUUACAGGUGUUCUUACUAAUUGUAAUAAGAAAUUAAAACACUUACAGCAUCUCUCCAUCAACAGUCUGAACAUCAAUGGCCAUCGAAACUUACACAGAGAAAAUAAAGAUUUAUCACAAGUAGGGCAAAGUGCAGAAUGACAGGAAUGAAGUUAAAAGUUAAAAAGGUGAUACGUAAACGUAGCAGUAUACGAUAUUUCGUCAACAAUCUGGGAUCACUAUCAGAUGUAGGAGCACUUCUCAUUAUAGAAGAGAUUGUACCUUGGGGAUUUCAUCUGUUGUGAUGUGUGAUGCUGUCGUGGUGCACUGCCUAACAGGGCCUUACGGCAAAUCUGGAGGAGGUGCGACAUAUUCGGCCCCAUGGCACCUACACCAAGAGACCGAACAGUACGGGCCCGUGCUAGAAGCUAACAUGGGGAGAAAAAUGCGUGGCAGCCAACGGAAAACUAACAAAAAUAUUA
This is a long non-coding RNA of Daphnia pulicaria, 842 nucleotides long. RefSeq lists it as uncharacterized. NCBI's taxonomy places the organism in Eukaryota, Metazoa, Arthropoda, Branchiopoda, Diplostraca, Daphniidae. The transcript is spliced from 3 exons. The record is from RefSeq and is a predicted model, not a curated record.